AAGGAAACUCUCUGGCGCCUGGCUGUCGACGCUGUUCCCCUGCCCGGUAAUACGCACAUACGCGACACCCCAGUGGAGCCGUGUGGAUGUGGCGGAUUCGGAGGAGCGGCAGGGCAACAGCAGGCGCUGCAAUGCUCCCCGCGUGCGCAUAUCUCCUGGGAGCGCCGAGUGGCGCAGACGGUGCUACAGCAGAUCGCGGCCUACGUGCCCGGACCCAUAUCCUGGGUGAACGUGUGGC
RNAcentral lists this long non-coding RNA (238 nucleotides) under Volvox carteri. Its description in RNAcentral is "long non-coding RNA (VCAR_LNC001664)". The record is from RNAcentral. Lineage: Eukaryota; Viridiplantae; Chlorophyta; Chlorophyceae; Chlamydomonadales; Volvocaceae.